UUAAUUGAAGAGUUUGAUCAUGGCUCAGAUUGAACGCUGGCGGCAGGCCUAACACAUGCAAGUCGAGCGGCAGCACAGAGGAACUUGUUCCUUGGGUGGCGAGCGGCGGACGGGUGAGUAAUGCCUGGGAAAUUGCCCGGUAGAGGGGGGAUAACCAUUGGAAACGAUGGCUAAUACCGCAUAACCUCGCAAGAGCAAAGCAGGGGAC
RNAcentral lists this ribosomal RNA (208 nucleotides) under Vibrio cholerae. RNAcentral's name for it is "partial 16S ribosomal RNA". It matches the Rfam family "Bacterial small subunit ribosomal RNA", at positions 1 to 214 of the family's 1533-position model. The record is from RNAcentral. Lineage: Bacteria; Pseudomonadati; Pseudomonadota; Gammaproteobacteria; Vibrionales; Vibrionaceae.